UUCUGUUUUCCCUGCCUCCGGUUGCCAAGGGAACAAGCACAGAGGACCGCAGCCAGGGAGCCGUUAGCGGCCUUUUUAAGGGGCCCUGGACAUAAACAGCACUUCCCAUCAUGGGAGCCGGGCACAGAGGUUUCAAAAAACAAAACAAUGCAGAAGAGGGGGCUAAAGUAGAAAAAAAGAAGUCGGGGGGAAGGGUCCCCCCCCCCACCACCGGGUUAAUGGGAGAGUGAAGGAUGGAAGACAGAUCCCAGAGAGAGGUACAGUCUUCUGGACAAAACCAGCCACCUUCCGGAAAGGUCUGCUGCUCUCCUUGAUGUGCAGAAAAGCAGACACCUGGCCCCCAGCCCUGACGUCUUCACUGAGACCAGAAACCUACCUGGGACUGUGGCUCCCAUGAGCUGUGGGGGCGGGGGUGGAAAUCCUCGGGCUGAAAAGAUGCUUUUCCGGAGGCAGGAGGGGCCAUGCAGACCUAGCCUCGGAGGAAGUGUCUCCUUCCCUUCCGCCCUCACCCCGACGCCAGCACAGGAGUGACGGUUGGCUGCUCUCCACCGGCCUGUACCUCUGUCCACCCAGAAGCCUCUGUCCCACCCACACGCCCCGUUAACCAAGUACUGGCACACGGAUAAAGCGAAUUUCCCUCCAUGAUGAAUAUCUGUUAGUCACUGUUUGUUCUCUGCUCGUCGCUCCUUGUUCCCACGGCAUCAAACGUGUAUCAUCAAACAUC
This is a long non-coding RNA of Leopardus geoffroyi (Geoffroy's cat), 724 nucleotides long. RefSeq lists it as uncharacterized. NCBI's taxonomy places the organism in Eukaryota, Metazoa, Chordata, Mammalia, Carnivora, Felidae. The transcript is spliced from 2 exons. The record is from RefSeq and is a predicted model, not a curated record.